GUGGGUAUACCUCAGUGGUAGAGCGUGUGCUUAGCAUACAUGAGGUCCUGGGUUCAAUCCUCAGUGCCUCCA
RNAcentral lists this transfer RNA (72 nucleotides) under Camelus bactrianus (Bactrian camel). It matches the Rfam family "tRNA". From Rfam's summary of the family: Transfer RNA (tRNA) molecules are approximately 80 nucleotides in length. Their secondary structure includes four short double-helical elements and three loops (D, anti-codon, and T loops). The record is from Rfam by way of RNAcentral. Lineage: Eukaryota; Metazoa; Chordata; Mammalia; Artiodactyla; Camelidae. RNAcentral also lists the same sequence under 1 other name.